GGAUCGGGAGGUCACCAUUCGGGAAGGUGGCCAGGCAUGGAUCCGAACCCCCUGUUUCUAAGGGCGCAGUGCCGGGGCCCGACGGCAUUCGCA
Regulatory RNA element from Pseudooceanicola atlanticus, 93 nucleotides. It matches the Rfam family "Rhodo-rpoB RNA". NCBI's taxonomy places the organism in Bacteria, Pseudomonadati, Pseudomonadota, Alphaproteobacteria, Rhodobacterales, Paracoccaceae. The record is from Rfam.